RNAcentral lists this long non-coding RNA (670 nucleotides) under Athene cunicularia (burrowing owl). RNAcentral describes it as "lncRNA (ENSACUG00000002711.1)". Lineage: Eukaryota; Metazoa; Chordata; Aves; Strigiformes; Strigidae. The record is from RNAcentral.
ACUGUGACAGCCAACAAGGGCCAGUGAUUGAUUUUACCCUUUACCCGUGCCCACAAGGUUUUUACUGCCCACCAGGGACGAACAGGAGCACUCAGUACAGCUGCCCUGCGGGAACCUUUGGACCAAGGCAAAAACUGAAAACUAUUAAGGAAUGUCAAAGAUGCCCACCAGGAAAAUACUGUGAAUUCUCUGGACUUGCUGCCCCAACAGGAGACUGUGCUGAGGGAUUUUGGUGCAAAAGUGGUGCCCGAGUAAGAAACCCCCAAGAUGGAGAAUCAGGACUUCCUUGUCCUCCUGGUCAUUACUGUCCUGAAGGUGCCCCGCUUCCAUUGCAGUGCCCUCCUGGCACAUGGUCUGGCAGCGAAGGCAGUGGGAGUUUGCAGGAAUGCCAGCCUUGCCCUGGGGGAUAUUAUUGCAAUAGCUCUGGCCAGAGCGCCCCCUCCGGGCACUGCAGCGCAGGGUACUACUGUGUCACUAGGGCCCAGACCCCGACGCCCACCGAUGGCCUGUCAGGAGCUCCGUGUCCAGUCGGUCACUUUUGUCCUCUUGGAUCCAGGAGUCCAGCACCGUGCCCCCCCGGCUCCUACUCACCACACAUCCGUGGAGAGAAGUGCCAUGCUUGCCCAGAGGGCGACUACUGUGUCCCUGGCGAGAAGCCACAACCCUGUCC